AGGGAAUCUUGGACAAUGGGCGAAAGCCUGAUCCAGCGACGCCGCGUGGGGGACGAAGGCCCUCGGGUUGUAAACCCCUGUUGUUGGGAAAGAAGCCGGGCUUCGCCCGGUGACGGUACCCAACGAGGAAGCCCCGGCUAACUACGUGCCAGCAGCCGCGGUAAGACGUAGGGGGCGAGCGUUAUCCGGAUUCACUGGGCGUAAAGGGCGCGCAGGCGGCUACGUAAGUCCGGCGUGAAAUCCCACGGCUCAACUGUGGAAUUGCGCCGGAUACUGCGUUGGCUUGAGGGCGGUAGAGGCUUCUGGAACUAGCGGUGUAGCGGUGAAAUGCGCAGAUAUCGCUAGGAACGCCGGUGGCGAAGGCGGGAGGCUGGGCCGAUCCUGACGCUGAGGCGCGAAAGCUAGGGGAGCGAA
This 414-nucleotide ribosomal RNA is filed under the name uncultured bacterium. Its description in RNAcentral is "bacterial SSU rRNA". It matches the Rfam family "Bacterial small subunit ribosomal RNA", at positions 356 to 772 of the family's 1533-position model. The record is from RNAcentral.